RNAcentral lists this ribosomal RNA (430 nucleotides) under bacterium. RNAcentral describes it as "partial 16S ribosomal RNA". It matches the Rfam family "Bacterial small subunit ribosomal RNA", at positions 355 to 776 of the family's 1533-position model. The record is from RNAcentral.
UGGGGAAUAUUGGACAAUGGGCGAAAGCCUGAUCCAGCCAUGCCGCGUGUCUGAAGAAGGCCUUUUGGUUGUAAAGCACUUUAAGCGAGGAGGAGGCUACUUAGAUUAAUACUCUAGGAUAGUGGACGUUACUCGCAGAAUAAGCACCGGCUAACUCUGUGCCAGCAGCCGCGGUAAUACAGAGGGUGCGAGCGUUAAUCGGAUUUACUGGGCGUAAAGCGUGCGUAGGCGGCUUUUUAAGUCGGAUGUGAAAUCCCUGAGCUUAACUUAGGAAUUGCAUUCGAUACUGGGAAGCUAGAGUAUGGGAGAGGAUGGUAGAAUUCCAGGUGUAGCGGUGAAAUGCGUAGAGAUCUGGAGGAAUACCGAUGGCGAAGGCAGCCAUCUGGCCUAAUACUGACGCUGAGGUACGAAAGCAUGGGGAGCAAACAGG